RNAcentral lists this ribosomal RNA (549 nucleotides) under uncultured Glomeromycotina. RNAcentral describes it as "SSU rRNA". It matches the Rfam family "Eukaryotic small subunit ribosomal RNA", at positions 548 to 1098 of the family's 1831-position model. The record is from RNAcentral. Lineage: Eukaryota; Fungi; Glomeromycota.
UUGGAGGGCAAGUCUGGUGCCAGCAGCCGCGGUAAUUCCAGCUCCAAUAGCGUAUAUUAAAGUUGUUGCAGUUAAAAAGCUCGUAGUUGAAUUUCGGGAUCAAUAUGUUGGUCGUGCCUUUGGUACGUACUAGCUUAUUGAUUUCUCCCUUCUGACGAACCAUGAUGUCAUUAAUUUGGUGUCAUGGGGAAUCAGGACUGUUACUUUGAAAAAAUUAGAGUGUUUAAAGCAGGCUUACGCUUGAAUACAUUAGCAUGGAAUAAUGAAAUAGGACGUUUUGAUUCUAUUUUGUUGGUUUCUAGGAUCGACGUAAUGAUUAAUAGGGAUAGUUGGGGGCAUUAGUAUUCAAUUGUCAGAGGUGAAAUUCUUGGAUUUAUUGAAGACUAACUACUGCGAAAGCAUUUGCCAAGGAUGUUUUCAUUAAUCAAGAACGAAAGUUAGGGGAUCGAAGACGAUCAGAUACCGUCGUAGUCUUAACCAUAAACUAUGCCGACUAGGGAUCGGAUGAUGUUAAUUUUUUAAUGACUCAUUCGGCGCCUUACGGGAAAC